This 27-nucleotide non-coding RNA is filed under the name Drosophila melanogaster (fruit fly). Lineage: Eukaryota; Metazoa; Arthropoda; Insecta; Diptera; Drosophilidae. The record is from RNAcentral. RNAcentral also lists the same sequence under 2 other names.
UGGUUGAUCCUGCCAGUAGUCAUAUGC